AUAAGUUUUAGCUGUUCUUUCAAGAGAAAAUUACAAACCGAGUAGGAUUUUCGCUAGGAAGGUGCAUGGAUUUUUCUGCAGAGAGAGCCUGAGCAGCCAGGUGCUGGUCACCAGAAAGACCAUGUCAAGAUUAGAAAACUGAGCUGCAGUCAGACCUCUUCUGUAGGAAGAAGGGCAGGGCUGACAGUUAAAUAUCCAGGAUGUCUGCAUGAGGAAGCCUGUAUGGAAAUCCUUGAAUUUAGGUUCAAGUUUCUUACCUGAUGGAUACAUGGAGCCGCCCAUAGGACAAUGAACUGGGAAAGGGCAUGGAAGUUUGAGCCAUUCCCACAUAUUCUGUCUUAUGGGUCCCUUUGGUGUGUCUGUUAGUCUGCAUCCAUUGUAAUAACCUCUAAAUUAAAUGGGUAAACUUAA
This is a long non-coding RNA of Chinchilla lanigera (long-tailed chinchilla), 411 nucleotides long. RefSeq lists it as uncharacterized. NCBI's taxonomy places the organism in Eukaryota, Metazoa, Chordata, Mammalia, Rodentia, Chinchillidae. The record is from RefSeq and is a predicted model, not a curated record. The transcript has 2 exons.